GGCCUCCUCAUGCUCACUGAAUGCUGUGUUCUUAUGCUGACAACAUAUAGAAAGGAGGCAGAGCAAACCGACUCUCUGUACAGCUUAACCCAGGCCAUUGUGCCUGAUCUAGAUUGUGAAUGGGGAUACAUGG
Small nucleolar RNA from Rattus norvegicus (Norway rat), 133 nucleotides. Ensembl annotates it as small nucleolar RNA SNORA51. NCBI's taxonomy places the organism in Eukaryota, Metazoa, Chordata, Mammalia, Rodentia, Muridae. The record is from Ensembl.